RNAcentral lists this small RNA (69 nucleotides) under Solibacillus silvestris StLB046. Its description in RNAcentral is "Bacillaceae-1 RNA". It matches the Rfam family "Bacillaceae-1 RNA". The record is from Rfam by way of RNAcentral. Lineage: Bacteria; Bacillati; Bacillota; Bacilli; Caryophanales; Caryophanaceae.
AGACUAGGAACAAAAGCUAAAAGAACGCCACGUCCUGUGGCAACGCUUUUGUGACCAACAUCGUGUUGG